This 253-nucleotide ribosomal RNA is filed under the name uncultured bacterium. RNAcentral describes it as "partial 16S ribosomal RNA". It matches the Rfam family "Bacterial small subunit ribosomal RNA", at positions 524 to 776 of the family's 1533-position model. The record is from RNAcentral.
UACGAAGGGGGCUAGCGUUGCUCGGAAUGACUGGGCGUAAAGGGCGCGUAGGCGGCUUGUACAGUCAGAUGUGAAAUUCCUGGGCUCAACCUGGGGACUGCAUUUGAUACGUAUGGGCUUGAGUGGAGAAGAGGGUUGUGGAAUUUCCAGUGUAGAGGUGAAAUUCGUAGAUAUUGGAAAGAACACCGGUGGCGAAGGCGGCAACCUGGUCUUUAACUGACGCUGAGGCGCGAAAGCGUGGGGAGCAAACAGG